UUGCAUAUUGGGAAUUCUUGUUAUGCUUCUCGUUCCCUGGGGAACAAGAUUAUCUGUGGCUUGCUACAUGAAAUAAAGGAGUUCUGAGGGCCACUAGCCAUGUAGUGAAGGGUAAGUGAUAGUCUGUUUCUCAUACGGAA
Small nucleolar RNA from Vulpes vulpes (red fox), 140 nucleotides. Lineage: Eukaryota; Metazoa; Chordata; Mammalia; Carnivora; Canidae. The record is from Ensembl.